This 329-nucleotide ribosomal RNA is filed under the name uncultured eukaryote. Its description in RNAcentral is "partial 18S ribosomal RNA". It matches the Rfam family "Eukaryotic small subunit ribosomal RNA", at positions 1470 to 1796 of the family's 1831-position model. The record is from RNAcentral.
CCCUUAGAUGUCCUGGGCCGCACGCGCGCUACACUGAGUGUCUGAGAUACGAGUCUGCCUGGUCCGGCAAGGUCUAGGUAAUCGCUAAAAGACACAUCAUGCUUGGGAUAGAUUAUUGCAAAUAUUAAUCUUGAACGAGGAAUUCCUAGUAAGCGCAAGUCAACAGCUUGCGUUGAUUACGUCCCUGCCCUUUAUACACACCGCCCGUCGCUACUACUGAUUGGAUGUUUAAGCGAGGUUCUCGAACUGCUAGCGACUUAGCUUCGGUGAGGUCGCAGUGUGGGAAGUGAACCGAGCUUUGGUGUCUAGAGGAAGUAAAAGUCGUAACA